GGUGAAUCUAUUUUGCCAACUUAAAUACGUCUCAAGUCAACCCCAACGUCGUAAAUUGGAGCAAAUCAUCAACCACGGCAGUUUGGACAAACUUCUCAACAAUCUUGAAGGAACUCACUUGGUCACUUCAAGUCUCGCCAAAAUGUCGUUCUCGACACAAGACACUGACGUUCAGAAUGAAUUGCACAAUACUCUACAAGCAUUUGAUAAAUCUAUUCAAGAGAAUGAAAUUGUAUUGGUGAUUUCAUUGGGGGUUCCGACCAUCGAAUGUCCUGGAAUGCUACAAGAGGAAAAGGUUUGCAUGAUUUUGCCAUGUAAAUUUUGGUAUACCGAAAAAUUUUGGUAUACCAGAAAUUUUGGUAUAUCGGUAUUACCGAAAAAGUCAUACCAACAUGUACCGAUAUUGGAUCCAAUACCGGUAUUUUUGGUGUAUUGGUAUGCCGAACAUCCCUAGGGUGGAUGUAUCUUGUAUAAAUGGGUCCAGUUAUUAAAUGAACUAAAAUAUGUAGGUACUUGGUAUGCCAACUCCCAAAACAAGACGCAAAAGUACCAUACAAGAGGCAAUGGCGGACCAUAUCAGUAACGAAAUCAAUGAAAACUCUCAACCAUCUGACAGUGACUCUAA
This is a non-coding RNA of Paramuricea clavata, 625 nucleotides long. Lineage: Eukaryota; Metazoa; Cnidaria; Anthozoa; Malacalcyonacea; Plexauridae. The record is from the annotation of a GenBank genome assembly.